RNAcentral lists this ribosomal RNA (2234 nucleotides) under Salmonella enterica subsp. enterica serovar Thompson. Its description in RNAcentral is "bacterial LSU rRNA". It matches the Rfam family "Bacterial large subunit ribosomal RNA", at positions 594 to 2812 of the family's 2925-position model. Lineage: Bacteria; Pseudomonadati; Pseudomonadota; Gammaproteobacteria; Enterobacterales; Enterobacteriaceae. The record is from RNAcentral.
UGACUGCGUACCUUUUGUAUAAUGGGUCAGCGACUUAUAUUCUGUAGCAAGGUUAACCGUAUAGGGGAGCCGGAGGGAAACCGAGUCUUAAUUGGGCGUUAAGUUGCAGGGUAUAGACCCGAAACCCGGUGAUCUAGCCAUGGGCAGGUUGAAGGUUGGGUAACACUAACUGGAGGACCGAACCGACUAAUGUUGAAAAAUUAGCGGAUGACCUGUGGCUGGGGGUGAAAGGCCAAUCAAACCGGGAGAUAGCUGGUUCUCCCCGAAAGCUAUUUAGGUAGCGCCUCGUGAACUCAUCUCCGGGGGUAGAGCACUGUUUCGGCUAGGGGGCCAUCCCGGCUUACCAACCCGAUGCAAACUGCGAAUACCGGAGAAUGUUAUCACGGGAGACACACGGCGGGUGCUAACGUCCGUCGUGAAGAGGGAAACAACCCAGACCGCCAGCUAAGGUCCCAAAGUCAUGGUUAAGUGGGAAACGAUGUGGGAAGGCCCAGACAGCCAGGAUGUUGGCUUAGAAGCAGCCAUCAUUUAAAGAAAGCGUAAUAGCUCACUGGUCGAGUCGGCCUGCGCGGAAGAUGUAACGGGGCUAAACCAUGCACCGAAGCUGCGGCAGCGACACUGUGUGUUGUUGGGUAGGGGAGCGUUCUGUAAGCCUGUGAAGGUGUGUCGUGAGGCAUGCUGGAGGUAUCAGAAGUGCGAAUGCUGACAUAAGUAACGAUAAAGCGGGUGAAAAGCCCGCUCGCCGGAAGACCAAGGGUUCCUGUCCAACGUUAAUCGGGGCAGGGUGAGUCGACCCCUAAGGCGAGGCCGAAAGGCGUAGUCGAUGGGAAACGGGUUAAUAUUCCCGUACUUGGUGUUACUGCGAAGGGGGGACGGAGAAGGCUAUGUUGGCCGGGCGACGGUUGUCCCGGUUUAAGCGUGUAGGUGUGUGUUCCAGGUAAAUCCGGUCCACUUUAACACUGAGGCGUGAUGACGAGGCACUACGGUGCUGAAGCAACAAAUGCCCUGCUUCCAGGAAAAGCCUCUAAGCAUCAGGUAACAUCAAAUCGUACCCCAAACCGACACAGGUGGUCAGGUAGAGAAUACCAAGGCGCUUGAGAGAACUCGGGUGAAGGAACUAGGCAAAAUGGUGCCGUAACUUCGGGAGAAGGCACGCUGACACGUAGGUGAAGUGAUUUACUCACGGAGCUGAAGUCAGUCGAAGAUACCAGCUGGCUGCAACUGUUUAUUAAAAACACAGCACUGUGCAAACACGAAAGUGGACGUAUACGGUGUGACGCCUGCCCGGUGCCGGAAGGUUAAUUGAUGGGGUCAGCGCAAGCGAAGCUCCUGAUCGAAGCCCCGGUAAACGGCGGCCGUAACUAUAACGGUCCUAAGGUAGCGAAAUUCCUUGUCGGGUAAGUUCCGACCUGCACGAAUGGCGUAAUGAUGGCCAGGCUGUCUCCACCCGAGACUCAGUGAAAUUGAACUCGCUGUGAAGAUGCAGUGUACCCGCGGCAAGACGGAAAGACCCCGUGAACCUUUACUAUAGCUUGACACUGAACAUUGAGCCUUGAUGUGUAGGAUAGGUGGGAGGCUUUGAAGCGUGGACGCCAGUCUGCGUGGAGCCGACCUUGAAAUACCACCCUUUAAUGUUUGAUGUUCUAACGUGGACCCGUAAUCCGGGUUGCGGACAGUGUCUGGUGGGUAGUUUGACUGGGGCGGUCUCCUCCUAAAGAGUAACGGAGGAGCACGAAGGUUGGCUAAUCCUGGUCGGACAUCAGGAGGUUAGUGCAAUGGCAUAAGCCAGCUUGACUGCGAGCGUGACGGCGCGAGCAGGUGCGAAAGCAGGUCAUAGUGAUCCGGUGGUUCUGAAUGGAAGGGCCAUCGCUCAACGGAUAAAAGGUACUCCGGGGAUAACAGGCUGAUACCGCCCAAGAGUUCAUAUCGACGGCGGUGUUUGGCACCUCGAUGUCGGCUCAUCACAUCCUGGGGCUGAAGUAGGUCCCAAGGGUAUGGCUGUUCGCCAUUUAAAGUGGUACGCGAGCUGGGUUUAGAACGUCGUGAGACAGUUCGGUCCCUAUCUGCCGUGGGCGCUGGAGAACUGAGGGGGGCUGCUCCUAGUACGAGAGGACCGGAGUGGACGCAUCACUGGUGUUCGGGUUGUCAUGCCAAUGGCACUGCCCGGUAGCUAAAUGCGGAAGAGAUAAGUGCUGAAAGCAUCUAAGCACGAAACUUGCCCCGAGAUGAGUUCU